CCCAGGGUGUUUGCUUCUCUUGGCCAAGGUCAGAUAGUUAAAAGUUAAUAGAUUGGAGACUUGAAUAGUACUGCAAAGCCAGUGCUCUCAACCUUUAUCCAGAAGCACAAAAUCAGAUGCAAACUGAAACCAGAGAGGUACACAGAAUUAAUGGAUCCAGCUGGGGGCAAUAAAGGAAGGGUUAUAAAACUGGAAAGCAGAUGCCCCAUCUAAAGGUACAGUUCCUGUUUGGCUCCAACUGAUCAAUCAUUUCCAUGAAGAAUAGGCACGUUGCAGAGCCAUGUCUUUGAUUUUCAACGAGAAGCAGAAAUCCUGCAUUGUUCAUACAAAUUUCCUGAUUUUUAAGUGCAGGCUACAAGUCCAUCACAACAGUCCUGGUUUUCAAGCCGACCUCGUAGACCUCAGGGCUAUGGCCGGUGCUCUUCUCUAAGUCCUCUUGAUAGAUCACAGCAGUGGCUCAGCCCAUCUGUAAAAGCCAUCGAAGAUCUUCCCAUCUAUUUCAGAGGCUGGGAACAUGAUGCAAGCCCUCCAGUGAGUGACAGCGAAGGUGACCCAUCCAUCUUCGAUUGCCUGGAACUUUCCUGAUUUCAAAAGGGUAAGUCUUAUGCUCUGGGAAUCUGCAGUCCCAGGCAAAGUGUGACAACUGGUCACCUCUUUAUAGCAGGGAAUGGGCUUCUGGCAUCUGCAAAGCUCUGGAAGGUCAACCAACCAGACCUUCAGAAUGUGUCCUUUCAGGGGAAUUUUGCUAUCCUUAGAGGUGCUAAUUUGCUAAAGCGUCUGUGUCUCCACUUCAAAAAUUAAACUGCCUCAGAUGCCAGGGAGCGACGUUCCCUAGGACAGCCCCCAAAAGCAAGUUUCCUAGAAACUCUCUGCAAUGGGGCGAGAAGGGCACCGGAAGAGCAGCGGACGUCCUGGAGAAAGCUGCUGGUGGUGAUUCGGCAGAGAAUCCUAAUUCGAAUCCAGUGGGAGCUCGCCAUUAUCGGGGCGCACACGGCUCCAGAUGUGAGGCUGCCCCUUACUGCUCGGAAGUGAAUGUGAUGGCUGGAGCCCCAACAGCCAUCUUUGCCAAUGAGGACAAGAGCCAUAUUAGAGGUAAGUGGAAAGUUGGAGGGAGCCUGGAGUCUUUGACCAUCAUGGAACAACCGCACCAACCAGAACUUAUGUUUGAAGCAAUGGCUCUCAUGACAGAGCUGCCCUUCUGGAGUUGCCCUGUUACUUCAGCCCAAAUUAAUUCUAACUAAAUCAGUUAUGUAAAUUGGCACAUAAUUCAAUUUACUGACUCACCAUCAAGCUCUCAACAACCAAAAAAUUGACGAUGCUGACUUUAUGUCCAGAAGCAGGUACUUUGGACUUUCUAGCACAGAGGAACCCAAGUUAUAUGUAUGUAUGUAUGUGUAUAUAUAUGUGUGUGUGUGUGUGUGUAUGUGUGUGUGUAGGUAUAUACACACAUAUAUGUGUACAUAUGUAUAACUUGAGUUAUAACAUAUAGAUGUAUAUAUACUUACAUCAUACA
This 1513-nucleotide long non-coding RNA is filed under the name Callithrix jacchus (white-tufted-ear marmoset). RNAcentral describes it as "lncRNA (ENSCJAG00000070860.1)". Lineage: Eukaryota; Metazoa; Chordata; Mammalia; Primates; Cebidae. The record is from RNAcentral.